Molecule: ribosomal RNA, 253 nt
Filed under: uncultured bacterium
Lineage: Bacteria
Description: partial 16S ribosomal RNA
Rfam family: Bacterial small subunit ribosomal RNA
Source: RNAcentral
UACGUAGGGACCGAGCGUUGUCCGGAUUUAUUGGGCGUAAAGAGCGUGUAGGCGGUUUGGUAGGUCCGUUGUGAAAACUCGAGGCUCAACCUCGAGACGCCGGCGGAAACCAUCAGGCUAGAGUCCGGAAGAGGAGAGUGGAAUUCCUGGUGUAGCGGUGAAAUGCGCAGAUAUCGGGAGGAACACCGGUGGCGAAGGCGGUUCUCUGGGCCUUACCUGACGCUGAGGAGCGAAAGCAUGGGGAGCGAACAGG